This 74-nucleotide transfer RNA is filed under the name Bacillota bacterium. RNAcentral's name for it is "tRNA-Cys". It matches the Rfam family "tRNA". From Rfam's summary of the family: Transfer RNA (tRNA) molecules are approximately 80 nucleotides in length. The record is from RNAcentral. Lineage: Bacteria; Bacillati; Bacillota.
GGCGACAUAGCCAAGAGGUAAGGCAGCGGUCUGCAAAAUCGCUAUCCCCGGUUCGAUUCCGGGUGUCGCCUCCA